This 85-nucleotide transfer RNA is filed under the name Felis catus (domestic cat). It matches the Rfam family "tRNA". Rfam says of the family: Transfer RNA (tRNA) molecules are approximately 80 nucleotides in length. Their secondary structure includes four short double-helical elements and three loops (D, anti-codon, and T loops). Further hydrogen bonds mediate the characteristic L-shaped molecular structure. tRNAs have two regions of fundamental functional importance: the anti-codon, which is responsible for specific mRNA codon recognition, and the 3' end, to which the tRNAs corresponding amino acid is attached (by aminoacyl-tRNA synthetases). tRNAs cope with the degeneracy of the genetic code in two manners: having more than one tRNA (with a specific anti-codon) for a particular amino acid; and 'wobble' base-pairing, i.e. permitting non-standard base-pairing at the 3rd anti-codon position. Lineage: Eukaryota; Metazoa; Chordata; Mammalia; Carnivora; Felidae. The record is from Rfam by way of RNAcentral.
GCCUGGGUGGCUUAGUCGGUGAAGCUUCUGACUUCAGCUCAGGUUGUGAUCUCAUGGUCCGUGAGUUCGAGUCCCGCGUCGGGCU